CGGGGUGCAGCAGGCGCGAAAACUUUACAAUGCUGGCAACAGCGAUAAGGGGACCUCGAGUGCCAGGAUACAAUCUUGGCUGUCGCGAUGCCUAAAAAGCAUUGCAUAGCAAGGGCCGGGCAAGACCGGUGCCAGCCGCCGCGGUAACACCGGCGGCUCGAGUGGUAACCGCUAUUAUUGGGUCUAAAGGGUCUGUAGCCGGCCGGAUAAGUCUUUUGGGAAAUCCAGCUGCUUAACAGUUGGGCUUUCAGAAGAUACUGUUCGGCUCGAGACCGGGAGAGGUGAGAGGUACUUCAGGGGUAGGGGUGAAAUCUUGUAAUCCUUGAAGGACCACCAGUGGCGAAGGCGUCUCACCAGAACGGAUCUGACGGCAAGGGACGAAAGCUAGGGGCACGAACCGGAUUAGAUACCCGGGUAGUCCUAGCCGUAAACGAUACUCGCUAGGUGUCAGCCACGGUGCGACCGUGGUUGGUGCCGUAGGGAAGCCGUGAAGCGAGCCACCUGGGAAGUACGGCCGCAAGGCUGAAACUUAAAGGAAUUGGCGGGGGAGCACAAGGGCGAAUCGCG
This 567-nucleotide ribosomal RNA is filed under the name uncultured archaeon. RNAcentral's name for it is "bacterial SSU rRNA". It matches the Rfam family "Archaeal small subunit ribosomal RNA", at positions 326 to 897 of the family's 1478-position model. The record is from RNAcentral.